RNAcentral lists this microRNA precursor (96 nucleotides) under Pelobates cultripes (western spadefoot toad). Lineage: Eukaryota; Metazoa; Chordata; Amphibia; Anura; Pelobatidae. The record is from RNAcentral.
GUAGAUUCACAUCUCCUUCAAAGAUAUUUCAAUGUUUCAUUAGGAGUUUCUUUAAAAAUGAAACAUUGGAAUAUCUUUGAAGGAGAUGUGAAUCUA